AUGGAGCCCAAUCCGUUCCUGAGGGAUCAGGUCAUGAUCUGUGUCUUUGAGACACUGGCCACUCAGGCUUCAGUUGACAUGAGAUCUACGAAAAAGGCACUGGUGAUGGUGACUUUUUACGAAGCUCCAGCCCAUGGUCACUCCCUGCAAAGCUCUGAACAUGUGCAUCCACAGGCCAGGCAGCGGGUGUCUACAAAGGCGGCCGAACUUGUGCUCUGCUUGGAGAGAGUAGAGGGCAGCAGCACAGUAGACAGCGUCUGGGACCUCAGGCCAGUUCCACAGCAGUUUAGGAAAGCAGGCGGCUCCAGGGGCUGGAGAAGUCGCCAUGCUCUGGAAAGACCCUGGGUGCGGAACUGCGAACACCCCCAGCCCGUAGCGGGCCGCCAUCGUGGACCCUCCGCCUUGGGACCAACAGCCGGGUAGCCGACCAGACACUGCAACUUCUCGAACGCCUGAAGAUGGUUCCGCUCCCCGCCCCGCCCUUCCAUGCAUCCUAGCAGUUUCACCUUGGGGACGGAAAACUUGGCUCUUUCCAAAUCUCUCCUGCUGUGGACACAGUGGAGCUAGGGCGGCUAGUUUCACCUUGUAAUUGUGACAUGCUGUCUCUCCAAGCUGCGGGCUUAGUGCAUGUCAUGUUCGAAGUUUGAUUUCUGGCAGACCAACAAAGGGCUGGUCGCCUUUUAAGGCCUCGCUGCAGGGUUGCCAUGUUUUUCAGGUUAAGUAUUGCACGACUACACGCUUCUGAUGCUGUCAUAGGCACAGCCUCAGCUCCGUGCAUGGUGGACCCACAAGAACAGAAUCUCCAUGGGGCAUCUUUGUGGGGCAUCCAUAUUACUGCAGGAUUUGGAAGAAACAAAUUUAAAUAACUUCUAAGAUGAAAAAAAUUGAACAUUUAAGACAAGGCAGAAAAGUCAUCUGCCUUUAAUAACUGUCAUCUGUGCCUCACAUGUCAGACUUUCUCCAAAAAAAAACUCUAAGGAGAACUUACUUCCAUUCUUAUAAAUAGUAAAAGUUAUAAAUCAUAUCAAGUCAAUUG
Molecule: RNA transcript, 1036 nt
Organism: Mandrillus leucophaeus (drill)
Lineage: Eukaryota; Metazoa; Chordata; Mammalia; Primates; Cercopithecidae
Exons: 4
Source: RefSeq, a predicted model, not a curated record